This 34446-nucleotide long non-coding RNA is filed under the name Xyrichtys novacula (pearly razorfish). The stretch from base 631 to 740 matches the Rfam family "tRNA". Lineage: Eukaryota; Metazoa; Chordata; Actinopteri; Labriformes; Labridae. The record is from RNAcentral.
UGCUGAUAUACCUUUAGCUUCACACAUAAACUCACUUAGUUGUUCUAAUGUUUUUGGUCCAACUUGCAGGAUUUUUUUUACAUUUUUUAAAUUAACAUUCUGUUUUCACCAUUUCCCCUCUCGACUGAAAUACAAUGAUUCUGAGAGAGUUAAAAACUUCUAAUAUCUACCUCAUGUUUUAAGGGGAACUUCCAAAUCUUUGUCAUAUGCCUGAUCAAACACUGUCCGGAUGAUGGUUGGACAAACACAAGUGGUGGUCCUGGAAGCCUUGGGCUUUGCACAAAAAAGACAAAACAAAUGCAAAUGAAAAACACACCUGCACUAGUUUGACUGCUCAUGCACCAACAGAGGAUGAAUCUACCAAGUUUGAGUCACUGAAGUAAAACGCUGGGGUAAGACAAAGCUACAAUCUAAAUACAGAUUGUAAGCUUUAUCAUUACUAUAAUAUUGCUAUCGGGAUGUUUCUUCUUGACAGUGAACACAUUUAGAUGUUGGUUUAGAAUAUUUAAAUCACACAACUGAAGAAAUAGAAAUGAUAACAAAAUAAAAUCACUCUAAUCAUAUAUUCUAUGUGUGAAAUUCCUUUUUUUCCAUUACGGUCUUGUAGUAACCCUUGAAGAAACCUUAGCAGUCAGGAUGGCCGAGUGGUCCAAGGCGCCAGACUCAAGGGUUGCUCCUUCCUGAGUACAGAGAUUUCUGGUCUCCAAAUGGAGGCGUGGGUUCAAAUCCCACUCCUGACAGUGCAAAAGUCUUUCUCUUGUUAAUUUCCCAGUUUGGGAUCAAUAAAGUCUAUCUAUUUAUCUAUCUAUCUAUUUGAAAAUACUCAUUAAAGGCUGGAUUAGUUAAAAAAAGUUUGGACAUCUCAAUCAUUGAUGUGCCAGUCUUACAACUGUAUCUGGAAACUACAAAUACUUAAUACUGUGGAGCUGAGUAAAAACUAGGUCAUCUGUCAAGUGCUCUCUCUUUUUGUAAUUGUGGUCCAGACAUACAGGUCAUUAAACCUGCUACACUCUGAAAACACAGCUGCACACUUGGGGAUUACAUGCAACCAAACUAUACCAGAAUUUCACAAGAGGAGCUUCUUUCCUCUGGGUUUCUGAGACCAAUAUUGCAGAAACUAAGCUGAAAAGUUGUUCCACACAGUGUCUCACUUUCUCCGAUUACCAAAGAAUUUCCAUAGUUGCAUAGACAAAGCUGUACCCCACAGACUGAGCAGAUUUCCUCUGAAACACUCCCAAAAUAAAAUCCUUCCCAGACCAAAAACUUUCCAUCCCAAAUUCCACAGUAACACUUUAUGGAAGUCUCUACAAAUAAACGCUUUAUGAAGAAAGUGUCAAUCCAGUCAAGAGGAAGCUCGGUGAACAAAACCUCCAGCCAAAACGAGGAAACCAAGCUGAAAUCAGGAAAGCCCAAACCCUGAUGCCGUGCAGUUGGAUGCAAUAAACUGCUCUGUUUUACCAUGGCUAAAGGAAAAAAAACUGUCUGGACCAAAUGUAACAUAGUGGAUUUCUUUGUUAAGACUUGAGAGGAAACUUACGAGUUAGAUCUCUAACAGGAAUGAAAACACUAUAUGUACAGUAUUUGCUGUUUGCUGGAAAUGUUAAAUCACCUUCAUUUAUGCCUUUCUCUUCUUCUGUUGAUUUAGGACACUUUGUUUUUAUUUCCUAAGGAAGCUGCACAUGUGGUAAUGGAGAAAACAGGCACAUUCGAAAGAACAUUAAGUUGACAACAGUAUAAUGAGACCCUUUGAAGCAUACUGUGCUUUUGUGAUUGUGAGCCAGCAACUUAACCUCUUUUGUUCUUAUAACAGUCUUUAUUACCUUCUUUCUGUAAUCAUAACCUGAAUAUUGGAUCCAACAUUUAACCACAGAUUAGCCUGAGACUCCAUUAACAUUGGUACUUUGUCUGUAUGCAUCAUUUCCUGCAAUUCUGUCCACAGUACAAAUGAGCAUCUCUGCUCUACUGUUCUCUUUGUAGCUCACCUACUCACAUCCCCCCUCUCUGUGUGUGUGUGUGUGUGUGUGUGUGUGUGUGUGUGUGUGUGUGUGUGUGUGUGUGUGUGUGUGUGUGUAAACAGGCCAUAUUCUUGUAAUUGGCAUUACACUCCACUCAUGGCAAACACCUUAAAAGGCUUCAGAGUGUUUUCAUGAACAUUUUGCAGAAUCAAGCCUGAUCAUAAUGGGACAGAAGGACAACAGACACCCAAGCCUUUUAUCUAUCCUAACACAAUCUUUUAGCACAUGAGCAUGAAUGCUUACCCUGUUUACUUUUCACACACAUCAGUGACACUUCCACCUUCACUCACAUCCCUAUAACCUGCCUCUCUGCUAUAUUUGUCAGUGUGUUUACCUUGAUUUAUUUUACACAUUGAUGUGUGUGCCAUAGAUAAAUACUUACCCUGAUGCUAGUGACACACAUUUCACACUUCUUCACUGCUGAUGGAUAGCUGUCAUGUCCGCUUACAAACCAAAAAAAUAAAGAAAAUAUUACAUUAAUGUGCUGGAAUCUGUUAUUUUGUACUUCAUACCUCAUUAACAUCUCAACAUCUAACCAAAAUAGUCCCCCCUCAGCUGUAUUACUGACAUGCUUGGCUGGUACUGUAAAGUUAAUUAAAUUCACUAUUGACCGAAUUUAGAUGGGGACUUUUUUUUCCAUACCUACAUAAAUGAAUAAAUCUCUCACCAACACCUUGUAACAUAGCUAUUAUUCUUAUGCAGGACUAUUCUACUAAAAUUUAGAAACAUUUAUUUAUUUAUUUUAGGGCUGUCUUGAAAUUGGCACUUUGAUCAGUGUGCUCUUUUGGCCCUGGUGGCUUAGCUGUAGUUGAGCUGCAUGAUGGGAAACAGCCUCAGGGCAAUUUGAAUAGUGUAUUUCACUCUAAAAAAAGAUCAGCAAAUGUGUUGUUGUUCUUGGGCUAGCAUUAGCUUCAGUUAGCAAGCAGGUGCUAGCUAGCUGCUGUGUGCAAAUUUAUGUUAGUAAAUCCUGCUUAUUCGACCUAAGCAAUUCUACAGUCAUGCAUACUCAAACUCUAAUGUGUAUUAAAUCUAGUAAAGCAUCUAAGCAUUUGAGUUGAACCUUGAUUGUCUGUCUUGAUUUUUUAGUAUCCGUCCACAAAAAGGAAGAGUCAAUAAUGUCCAACAUUCCCAUUGACACACAUUUUAUCUGACGCCACCUUUUAAAAACCAGACUGAACCCAUCAUCAACACAGAGCUUUGACUUUGAGGUUUUGGUUAUUGAAGAGGUACCUCUUGUACAGAGAUUUUCUUGACAAGGUCUCACCACCUUGAACCAUGAAUUAUGACUGGUAUGACUCACACUGAUCACCUUGAGUAACUGGCCUCUACUCUAUUUGUCCCAUUGCAGCUAGGGUUAGGGUUAGGGUUAGGAUUGCAGCUAGGGUUAGGGUUAGGGUUAGGGUUGGAGCUAGGGUUAGGGUUAGUGUUGCAGCUAGGGUUAGGGUUAGGGUUGGAGCUAGGGUUAGGGUUAGGGUUAGGGUUGCAGCUAGGGUUAGGGUUAGGGUUAGGGUUAUGGUUGGAGCUAGGGUUAGGGUUAGGGUUAGGGUUGUAGCUAGGGUUAGGGUUAGGGUUAGGGUUGGAGCUAGGGUUAGGGUUAGGGUUGCAGCUAGGGUUAGGGAUAGGGUUGGAGUUAGGGUUAGGGUUAGGGUUGAGGCUGGGGUUAGGGUUAGGGUUGGAGUUAGGGUUGAGGUUAAGGUUGGAGAUCGGGUAAGGGUUAGGGUUAGGGUUGCAGCUAGGGUUAGGGUUAUGGUUAGUGUUGCAGCUAGGGUUAGGGUUAGGGUUGGAGUUAGGGUUAGGGUUAGGGUUGCAUCUAGGGUUAGGGUUAUGGUUAUGGUUGGAGCUAGGGUUAGGGUUAGUGUUGCAGCUAGGGUUAGGGUUAGGGUUAGGGUUGGAGCAAGGGUUAGGGUUAGGGUUGGAGUUAGGGUUAGGGUUAGGGUUGGAGCUAUGGUUAGGGUUAGGGUUAGGGUUGGAGCUAGGGUUAGGGUUAGGGUUGCAGAUAGGGUUAGGGUUAGGGUUGGAGCUAGGGUUAGGGUUAGGGUUGCAGCUAGGAUUAGGGUUAGGGUUAGGGUUGCAGCUAGGGUUAGGGUUAGGGUUAGGGUUAUGGUUGGAGCUAGGGUUAGGGUUAGGGUUUGAGCUAGGGUUAGGGUUAGGGUUAGGGUUAGUGUUGCAGCUAGGGUUAGGGUUAGGGUUAGGGUUGGAGCUAGGGUUAGGGUUAGGGUCAGGGUUGCAGCUAGGGUUAGCGUUAGGGUUAUGGUUGGAGCUAUGGUUAGGGUUAGGGUUGUAGCUAGGGUUAGGGUUAGGGUUAGGGUUGGAGCUAGGGUUAGGGUUAGGGUUGCAGCUAGGGUUAGGGAUAGGGUUGGAGUUAGGGUUAGGGUUAGGGUUGAGGCUAGGGUUAGGGAUAGGGUUUGAUCUAGGGUUAGGGUUAGGGUUAGUGUUGCAGCUAGGGUUAGGGUUAGGGUUAGGGUUGGAGCUAGGGUUAGGGUUAGGGUUAGGGUUGCAGCUAGGGUUAGGGUUAGGGUUAGGGUUAAGGUUUGAGCUAGGGUUGGGGUUAGGGUUAGGGUUGUAGCAAGGGUUAGGGUUAAGGUUAGGGUUGGAGCUAGGGUUAGGGUUAGGGUUGCAGCUAGGGUUAGGGUUAGGGUUAGGGUUGGAGUUAGGGUUAGGGUUAAGGUUGGAGCUCGGGUAAGGGUUAGGGUUACGGUUGCAGCUAGGGUUAGGGUUAUGGUUAGUGUUGCAGCUAGGGUUAGGGUUAGGGUUGGAGCUAGGGUUAGGGUUAGGGUUGCAGCUAGGGUUAGGGUUAUGGUUGGAGCUAGGGUUAGGGUUAGUGUUGCAGCUAGGGUUAGGGUUAGGGUUGGAGCUAGGGUUAGGGUUAGGGUUGGAGUUAGGGUUAGGGUUAGGGUUGGAGCUAGGGUUAGGGUUAGGGUUGCAGCUAGGUUUAGGGUUAGGGUUAGAGUUAUGGUUGGAGCUAGGGUUAGGGUUAGGGUUAGGGUUGGAGCUAGGGUUAGGGUUAGGGUUAGGGUUGGAGCUAGGGUUAGGGUUAGGGUUGGAGCUACGGUUAGGUGUGGGGUUAGGGUUGCAGCUAGGGUUAGGGUUAGGGUUUGAGCUAGGGUUAGGGUUAGGGUUAGUGUUGCAGCUAGGGUUAGGGUUAGGGUUAGGGUUGGAGCUAGGGUUAGGGUGAGGGUUGCAGCUAGGGUUAGGGUUAGGGUUAGGGUUAUGGUUGGAGCUAGGGUUAGGGUUAGGGUUAGGGUUGUAGCUAGGGUUAGGGUUAGGGUUAGGGUUGGAGCUAGGGUUAGGGUUAGGGUUGCAGCUAGGGUUAGGGAUAGGGUUGGAGUUAGGGUUAGGGUUAGGGUUGAGGCUGGGGUUAGGGUUAGGGUUGGAGCUAGGGUUAGGGUUAGGGUUGGAGUUAGGGUUAGGGUUUGAGCUAGGGUAAGGGUUAGGGUUGCAGCUAGGGUUAGGGUAAGGGUUUGAGCUAGGGUUAGGGUUAGGGUUGCAGCUAGCUUUAGGGUUAGGGUUGGAGCUAGGGUUAGGGUUAGGGUUGCAGCUAGGGUUAGGGUUAGGGUUGCAGCUAGGGUUAGGGUUAGGGUUGGAGCUAGGUUUAGGGUUAGGGUUGAGGCUGGGGUUGGGGUUAGGGUUAGGGUUGCAGCUAGGGUUAGGGUUAGGGUUGGAGCUAGGGUUAGGGUUAGGGUUGGAGUUAGGGUUAGGGUUAAAGCUAGGGUUAGGGUUAGGGUUAGGGUUGAGGCUAGGGUUAGGGUUAGGGUUAGGGUUGCAGCUAGGGUUAGGGUUAGGGUUAGGGUUGCAGCUAGGGUUAGGGUUAUGGUUAUGGUUGGAGCUAGGGUUAGGGUUAGGGUUGGAGUUUGGGCUAGGGUUAGGGUUGCAGCUAGGGUUAGGGUUAGGUUUAGGGUUGAGGGUAGGGUUAGGGUUGCAGCUAGGGUUAGGGUUGGGGUUGAGGCAAGGAUUAGGGUUAGGGUUGGAGCUAGGGUUAGGGUUAUGGUAUGAGCUAGGGUUAGGGUUGGAGUUAUGGUUCGAGUCGGAGCUAGGGUUAGGGUUAGGGUUAGGGUUGCAGCUAGGUAGGGUUAGGGUUAGGGUUGGAGCUAGGGUUAGGGUUAGGGUUGCAGCUAGGGUUACGGUUAGGGUUAGGUUUGCAGCUAGGGUUAGGGUUAGGUUUAGGGUUUGAGCUAGGGUUAGGGUUAGGGUUGGAGUUAGGGUUAGGGUUAGGGUCGGAGCUAGGGUUAGGGUUAGGGUUGGAGUUAGGGUUAGGGUUAGGGUUGGUGCUAGGGUAAGGGUUAGGGUUAGGGUUGCAGCUAGGGUUAGGGUUAGGGUUAGUGUUGCAGCUAGGGUUAGGGUUAGGGUUGGAGCUAGGGUUAGGGUUAGGGUUUGGGUUGCAGCUAGGGUUAGGGUAAUGGUUAUGGUUGGAGCUAGGGUUAGGGUUAGUGUUGCAGCUAGGGUUAGGGUUAGGGUUGAAGCUAGAGUUAGGGUUAGGGUUGGAGCUACGGUUAGGGUUAGGGUUGGAGCUAGGGUUAGGGUUAGGGUUAGGGUGCGAGCUAGGUUUAGGGUCAGGGUUAGGGGUUAGGGUUAGGGUUAGGUUUAGUGUUGAGGGUAGGGUGAGGGUUGCAGCUAGGGUUAGGGUUGGGGUUGAGGAAAGGGUUAGGGUUAGGGUUGGAGCUAGGGUUAAGGUUAUGGUUGGAGCUAGGGUUAGGGUUGGAGUUAUGGUUCGAGUUGGAGCUAGGGUUAGGGUUAGGGUUAGGUUUGCAGCUAGGUAGGGUUAGGGUUGGAGCUAGGGUUAGGGUUAGGGUUGCAGCUAGGGUUAGGGUUAGGGUUAGGUUUGCAGCUAGGGUUAGGGUUAGGGUUAUGGUUUGAGCUAGGGUUAGGGUUAGGGUUGGAGUUAGGGUUAGGGUUAGGGUCGGAGCUAGGGUUAGGGUAAGGGUUGGAGUCAGGGUUAGGGUUAGGGUUGGUGCUAGGGUAAGGGUUAGGGUUAGGGUUGCAGCUAGGGUUAGGGUUAGGGUUAGUGUUGCAGCUAGGGUUAGGGUUAGGGUUGGAGCUAGGGUUAGGGUUAGGGUUUGGGUUGCAGCUAGGGUUAGGGUUAGGGUUAUGGUUGGAGCUAGGGUUAGGGUUAGUGUUGCAGCUAGGGUUAGGGUUAGGGUUGGAGCUAGGUUUAGGGUUAGGGUUGUAGCUACGGUUGGGGUUAGGGUUGGAGCUAGGGUUAGGGUUAGGGUUAGGGUUGGAGCUAGGGCUAGGGUUAGGGUUAGGGUUGCAGCUAGGGUUGGCGCUAGGGUUAGGGUUAGGGUUCGAGCUAGGGUUAGGGUUAGGGUUAGGGUUGCAGCUAGGGUUAGGGUUAUGGUUGGAGCUAGGGUUAGGGUUUAAGCUAGGGUUAGGGGUAGGGUUAGUGUUGCAGCUAGGGUUAGGGUUAGGGUUGGAGCUAGGGUUAGGGUUAGGGUUAGGGUUGCAGCUAGGGUUAGGGUUAGGGUUGGAGCUAGGGUUAGGGUUAGGGUUGCAGCUAGGGUUAGGGUUAGGGUUAGGGUUAAGGUUGGAGCUAGGGUUAGGGUUGGAGCUAGGGUUAGGGUUAGGGUUAGGGUUGGAGCUAGGGUUAGGGUUAGGGUUGCAGCUAGGGUUAGGGUUAGGGUUGGAGUUAGGGUUAGGGUUGGAGCUAGGGUUAGGGUUAGGGUUAGGGUUUGAGCUAGGGUUAGGGUUAGGGUUGGAGCUAGGGUUAGGGUUAGGGUUAGGGUUGCAGCUAGGGUUAGGGUUAGGGUUAGGGUUGCAGCUAGGGUUAAGGUUAGGGUUAGGGUUGCAGCUAGGGUUAGGGUUGCAGCUAGGGUUAGGGUUAGGGUUAUGGUUGGAGCUAGGGUUACGGUUGCAGCUAGGGUUAGGGUUAGGGUUAGGGUUAUGGUUGGAGCAAGGGUUAGGGUUAGGGUUGGAGCUAGGGUUAGGGUUAGGGUUAGGGUUGCAGCUAGGGUUAGGGUUAGGGUUAGGGUUGGAGCUAGGGUUAGGGUUAGGGUUGCAGCUAGGGUUAGGGUUAGGGUUAGGGUUGGAGCUAGGGUUAGGGUUAGGGUUGGAGCUAGGGUUAGGGUUAGGGUUGGAGCUACGGUUAGGGUUAGGGUUGGAGUUAGGGUUAGGGUUAGGGUUAGGGCUGGAGCUAGGGUUAGGGUUAGGGUUAGGGUUGCAGCUAGGGUUAGGGAUAGGGUUAGGGUUAAGGUUGGAGCUAGGAUUAGGGUUGUAGCUAGGGUUAGGGUUAGGGUUAGGGUUAGGUUUAGGGUUGGAGCCAUGGUUAGGGUUAGGGUUAGGGUUGCAGCUAGGGUUGGCGCUAGGGUUAGGGUUAGGGUUCGAGCUAGGGUUAGGGUUAGGGUAAGGGUUGCAGCUAGGGUUAGGGUUAGGGUUAUGGUUGGAGCUAGGGUUAGGGUUUGAGCUAGGGUUAGGGUUAGGGUUAGUGUUGCAGCUAGGGUUAGGGUUAGGGUUAAGGUUGGAGCUAGGGUUAGGGUUAUGGAUAGGGUUGCAGCUAGGGUUAGGGUUAGGGUUAGGGUUGGAGCUAGGGUUAGGGUUAGGGUUAGGGUUGCAGCUAGGGUUAGGGUUAGGGUUAGGGUUAAGGUUGGAGCUAGGGUUAGGGUUGUAGCUAGGGUUAGGGUUGGAGCUAGGGUUAGGGUUAGGGUUGCAGCUAGGGUUAGGGUUAGGGUUGGAGUUAGGGUUAGGGUUGGAGCUAGGGUUAGGGUUAGGGUUAGGGUUUGAGCUAGGGUUAGGGUUAGGGUUGGAGCUAGGGUUAGGUUUAGGGUUAGGUUGCAGCUAGGGUUAGGGUUAGGGUUAGGGUUGCAGCUAGGGUUAAGGUUAGGGUUACGGUUGCAGCUAGGGUUAGGGUUAGGGUUGGAGCUAGGGUUAGGGUUAGGGUUGGAGCUACGGUUAGGGUUAGGGUUGGAGCUAGGGUUAGGGUUAGGGUUAGGGUUGGAGCUAGGGUUAGGGUUAGGGUUAGGGUUGCAGCUAGGGUUAGGGUUAGGGUUAGGGUUAGGGUUAGGGUUUGAGCUAGGGUUAGGGUUGGAGCUAGGGUUAGGGUUAGGGUUGGAGCUACGGUUAGGGUUAGGGUUGGAGCUAGGGUUAGGGUUAGGGUUAGGGUUGGAGCUAGGGUUAGGGUUAGGGUUGCAGCUAGGGUUAGGGUUAGGGUUAGUGUUGGAGUUAGGGUUAGGGUUAGGGUUGCAGCUAGGGUUAGGGUUAGGGUUAGGGUUGGAGCUAGGGUUAGGGUUAGGGUUAGGGUUGCAGCUAGGGUUAGGGUUAGGGUUAGGGUUGGAGCUAGGGUUAGGGUUAGUGUUGCAGCUAGGGUUAGGGUUAGGGUUGGAGCUAGGUUUAGGGUUAGGGUUGUAGCUACGGUUGGGGUUAGGGUUGGAGCUAGGGUUAGGGUUAGGGUUAGGGUUGGAGCUAGGGUUAGGGUUAGGGUUGCAGCUAGGGUUGGCGCUAGGGUUAGGGUUAGGGUUCGAGCUAGGGUUAGGGUUAGGGUUAGGGUUGCAGCUAGGGUUAGGGUUAUGGUUGGAGCUAGGGUUAGGGUUUAAGCUAGGGUUAGGGUUAGGGUUAGUGUUGCAGUUAGGGUUGGAGCUAGGGUUAGGGUUAGGGUUGCAGCUAGGGUUAGGGUUAUGGUUGGAGUUAGGGUUAGGGUUAGGGUUGCAGCUAGGGUUAGGGUUAGGGUUAGGGUUAAGGUUGGAGCUAGGGUUAGGGUUGUAGCUAGGGUUAGGGUUAGGGUUAGGGUUGGAGCUAGGGUUAGGAUUAGGGUUGCAGCUAGGGUUAGGGUUAGGGUUGGAGUUAGGGUUAGGGUUGGAGCUAGGGUUAGGGUUAGUGUUAGGGUUUGAGCUAGGGUUACGGUUAGGGUUGGAGCUAGGGUUAGGGUUAGGGUUAGGGUUGCAGCUAGGGUUAGGGUUAGGGUUAGGGUUGCAGCUAGGGUUAAGGUUAGGGUUAGGGUUGCAGCUAGGGUUAGGGUUGCAGCUAGGGUUAGGGUUAGGGUUAUGGUUGGAGCAAGGGUUAGGGUUAGGGUUGGAGCUAGGGUUAGGGUUAGGGUUAGGGUUGCAGCUAGGGUUAGGGUUAGGGUUAGGGUUGGAGCUAGGGUUAGGGUUAGGGUUGCAGCUAGGGUUAGGGUUAGGGUUAGGGUUGGAGCUAGGGUUAGGGUUAGGGUUGGAGCUAGGGUUAGGGUUAGGGUUGGAGCUACGGUUAGGGUUAGGGUUGGAGCUAGGGUUAGGGUUAGGGUUGGAGCUAGGGUUAGGGUUAGGGUUAGGGUUGCAGCUAGGGUUAGGGAUAGGGUUAGGGUUAAGGUUGGAGCUAGGGUUAGGGUUGUAGCUAGGGUUAGGGUUAGGGUUAGGGUUAGGUUUAGGGUUGGAGCUAGGGUUAGGGUUAGGGUUAGGGUUAGGGUUGCAGCUAGGGUUGGCGCUAGGGUUAGGGUUAGGGUUCGAGCUAGGGUUAGGGUUAGGGUAAGGGUUGCAGCUAGGGUUAGGGUUAGGGUUAUGGUUGGAGCUAGGGGUAGGGUUUGAGCUAGGGUUAGGGUUAGGGUUAGUGUUGCAGCUAGGGUUAGGGUUAGGGUUAAGGUUGGAGCUAGGGUUAGGGUUAUGGAUAGGGUUGCAGCUAGGGUUAGGGUUAGGGUUAGGGUUGGAGCUAGGGUUAGGGUUAGGGUGAGGGUUGCAGCUAGGGUUAGGGUUAGGGUUAGGGUUAAGGUUGGAGCUAGGGUUAGGGUUGUAGGUAGGGUUAGGGUUAGGGUUGGAGCUAGGGUUAGGGUUAGGGUUGCAGCUAGGGUUAGGGUUAGGGUUGGAGUUAGGGUUAGGGUUGGAGCUAGGGUUAGGGUUAGGGUUAGGGUUUGAGCUAGGGUUAGGGUUAGGGUUGGAGCUAGGGUUAGGGUUAGGGUUAGGGUUGCAGCUAGGGUUAGGGUUAGGGUUAGGGUUGCAGCUAGGGUUAAGGUUAGGGUUAGGGUUGCAGCUAGGGUUAGGGUUGCAGCUAGGGUUAGGGUUAGGGUUGGAGCUAGGGUUAGGGUUAGGGUUAGGGUUGCAGCUAGGGUUAGGGUUAGGGUUAGGGUUGGAGCUAGGGUUAGGGUUAGGGUUAGGGUUAGGGUUAGGGUUGGAGCUAGGGUUGGGUUAGGGUUAGGGUUGCAGCUAGGGUUGGCGCUAGGGUUAGGGUUAGGGUUCGAGCUAGGGUUAGGGUUAGGGUUAGGGUUGCAGCUAGGGUUAGGGUUAGGGUUAGGGUUAUGGUUGGAGCUAGGGUUAGGGUUUGAGCUAGGGUUAGGGUUAGGGUUAGUGUUGCAGCUAGGGUUAGGGUUAGGGUUAAGGUUGGAGCUAGUGUUAGGGUUAGGGUUAGGGUUGCAGCUAGGGUUAGGGUUAGGGUUAGGGUUGGAGCUAGGGUUAGGGUUAGGGUUAGGGUUGCAGCUAGGGUUAGGGUUAGGGUUAGGGUUAAGGUUGGAGCUAGGGUUAGGGUUGUAGCUAGGGUUAGGGUUAAGGUUAGGGUUGGAGCUAGGGUUAGGGUUAGGGUUGCAGCUAGGGUUAGGGUUAGGGUUUGAGUUAGGGUUAGGGUUGGAGCUAGGGUUAGGGUUAGGGUUAGGGUUUGAGCUAGGGUUAGGGUUAGGGUUGGAGCUAGGGUUAGGGUUAGGGUUAGGUUGCAGUUAGGGUUAGGGUUAGGGUUAGGGUUGCAGCUAGGGUUAAGGUUAGGGUUAGGGUUGCAGCUAGGGUUAGGGUUGCAGCUAGGGUUAGGGUUAGGGUUAGGGUUAUGGGUGGAGCUAGGGUUACGGUUGCAGCUAGGGUUAGGGUUAGGGUUAGGGUUAUGGUUGCAGCUAGGGUUAGGGUUGGAGUUAUGGUUCGAGUCGGAGCUAGGGUUAGGGUUAGGGUUAGGGUUGCAGCUAGGUAGGGUUAGGGUUGGAGCUAGGGUUAGGGUUAGGGUUGCAGCUAGGGUUAGGGUUAGGGUUAGGUUUGCAGCUAGGGUUAGGGUUAGGGUUAUGGUUUGAGCUAGGGUUAGGGUUAGGGUUGGAGUUAGGGUUAGGGUUAGGGUUGGAGCUAGGGUUAGGGUUAGGGUUGGAGUUAGGGUUAGGGUUAGGGUUGGUGCUAGGGUAAGGGUUAGGGUUAGGUUUGCAGCUAGGGUUAGGGUUAGGGUUAGUGUUGCAGCUAGGGUUAGGGUUAGGGUUGGAGCUAGGGUUAGGGUUAGGGUUUGGGUUGCAGCUAGGGUUAGGGUUAUGGUUAUGGUUGGAGCUAGUGUUAGGGUUAGUGUUGGAGCUACGGUUAGGGUUAGGGUUGGGGUUAGGGUUAGGGUUAGGGUUGGAGCUAGGGUUAGGGUUAGGGUUAGGGUUGCAGCUAGGGUUGGCGCUAGGGUUAGGGUUAGGGUUCGAGCUAGGGUUAGGGUUAGGGUUAGGGUUGCAGCUAGGGUUAGGGUUAGGGUUAUGGUUAGGGUUGCAGCUAGGGUUAUGGUUAUGGUUAUGGUUGGAGCUAGGGUUAGGGUUAGGGUUGGAGUUUGGGUUAGGGUUAGGGUUGCAGCUAGGGUUAGGGUUAGGUUUAGGGUUGAGGGUAGGGUGAGGGUUGCAGCUAGGGUUAGGUUUGGGGUUGAGGAAAGGGUUAGGGUUAGGGUUGGAGCUAGGGUUAGGGUUAUGGUUGGAGCUAGGGUUAGGGUUGGAGUUAUGGUUCGAGUCGGAGCUAGGGUUAGGGUUAGGGUUAGGGUUGCAGCUAGGGUUAGGGUUAGGGUUGGAGCUAGGGUUAGGGUUAGGGUUGCAGCUAGGGUUAGAGUUAGGGUUAGGUUUGCAGCUAGGGUUAGGGUUAGGGUUAUGGUUUGAGCUAGGGUUAGGGUUAGGGUUGCAGCUAGGUAGGGUUAGGGUUGGAGCUAGGGUUAGGGUUAGGGUUGGAGUUAGGGUUAGGGUUAGGGUUGGUGCUAGGGUUAGGGUUAGGGUUAGGGUUGCAGCUAGGGUUAGGGUUAGGGUUAGUGUUGCAGCUAGGGUUAGGGUUAGGGUUGGAGCUAGGGUUAGGGUUAGGGUUAGGGUUUGAGCUAGGGUUAGGGUUAGGGUUGGAGCUAGGGUUAGGGUUAGGGUUGCAGCUAGGGCUAGGGUUAUGGUUGGAGCUAGGGUUAGGGUUUGAGCUAGGGUUAGGGUUAGGGUUAGUGUUGCAGCUAGGGUUAGGGUUAGGGUUAGGGUUGGAGCUAGGGUUAGGGUUAGGGUUAGGGUUGCAGCUAGGGUUAGGGUUAGGGUUAGGGUUGGAGCUAGGGUUAGGGUUAGGGUUAGGGUUAGGGUUGCAGCUAGGGUUAGGGUUAGGGUUAGGGUUAAGGUUGGAGCUAGGGUUAGGGUUGUAGCUAGGGUUAGGGUUAGGGUUAGGGUUGGAGCUAGGGUUAGGGUUAGGGUUGCAGCUAGGGUUAGGGUUAGGGUUAGGGUUUGAGCUAGGGUUAGGGUUAGGGUUGCAGCUAGGGUUAGGGUUAGGGUUAGGGUUGCAGCUAGGGUUAGGGUUAGGGUUAGGGUUGCAGCUAGGGUUAGGGUUAGGGUUAGGGUUGCAGCUAGGGUUAGGGUUGCAGCUAGGGUUAGGGUUAGGGUUAUGGUUGGAGCUAGGGUUACGGUUGCAGCUAGGGUUAGGGUUAGGGUUAGGGUUAUGGUUGGAGCUAGGGUUAGGGUUAGGGACGGAGCUAGGGUUAGGGUUAGGGUUAGGGUUGCAGCUAGGGUUAGGGUUAGGGUUAGGGUUAGGGUUAAGGGUUGAGGCUGGGGUUCGGGUUAGGGUUAGGGUUGGAGUUAGGGUUAGGGUUAGGGUUGGAGCUAGGGUUAGGGUUAGGGUUAGGGUUGCAGCUAGGGUUAGGGUUAGGGUUGGGUUAGGGUUAGGGUUGGAGCUAGGGUUAGGGUUAGGGUUAGGGUUAGGGUUAGGGUUGCAGCUAGGGUUAGGGUUAUGGUUGGAGCUAGGGUUAGGGUUUGAGCUAGGGUUAGGGUUAGGGUUAGUGUUGCAGCUAGGGUUAGGGUUAGGGUUAGGGUUGGAGCUAGGGUUAGGGUUAGGGUUAGGGUUGCAGCUAGGGUUAGGGUUAGGGUUAGGGUUGGAGCUAGGGUUAGGGUUAGGGUUAGGGUUAGGGUUGCAGCUAGGGUUAGGGUUAGGGUUAGGGUUAAGGUUGGAGCUAGGGUUAGGGUUGUAGCUAGGGUUAGGGUUAGGGUUAGGGUUGGAGCUAGGGUUAGGGUUAGGGUUGGAGCUAGGGUUAGGGUUAGGGUUAGGGUUUGAGCUAGGGUUAGGGUUAGGGUUGCAGCUAGGGUUAGGGUUAGGGUUAGGGUUGAAGCUAGGGUUAGGGUUAGGGUUAGGGUUGCAGCUAGGGUUAAGGUUAGGGUUAGGGUUGCAGCUAGGGUUAGGGUUGCAGCUAGGGUUAGGGUUAGGGUUAUGGUUGGAGCUAGGGUUACGGUUGCAGCUAGGGUUAGGGUUAGGGUUAGGGUUAUGGUUGGAGCUAGGGUUAGGGUUAGGGACGGAGCUAGGGUUAGGGUUAGGGUUAGGGUUGCAGCUAGGGUUAGGGUUAGGGUUAGGGUUAGGGUAAGGGUUGAGGCUGGGGUUCGGGUUAGGGUUAGGGUUGGAGUUAGGGUUAGAGUUAGGGUUGGAGCUAGGGUUAGGGUUAGGGUUAGGGUUGGAGCUAGGGUUAGGGUUAGGGUUGGAGUUAGGGUUAGGGUUGGAGCUAGGGUUAGGGUUAGGGUCAGGGUUGCAGCUAGGGUUAGGGUUAGGGUUAGGGUUGGAGCUAGGGUUAGGGUUAGGGUUGCAGCUAGGGUUAGGGUUAGGGUUAGGGUUGGAGUUAGGGUUAGGGUUAGGGUUGCAGCUAGGGUUAGGGUUAGGGUUGGUGCUAGGGUAAGGGUUAGGGUUAGGGUUGCAGCUAGGGUUAGGGUUAGGGUUAGUGUUGCAGCUAGGGUUAGGGUUAGGGUUGGAGCUAGGGUUAGGGUUAGGGUUAUGGUUAGGGUUGGAGCUAGGGUUAGGGUUAGGGUUGGAGCUACGGUUAGGGUUAGGGUUGGAGCUAGGGUUAGGGUUAGGGUUAGGGUUGGAGCUAGGGUUAGGGUUAGGGUUGCAGCUAGGGUUAGGGUUAGGGUUAGUUUUGGAGUUAGGGUUAGGGUUAGGGUUGCAGCUAGGGUUAGGGUUAGGGUUAGGGUUGGAGCUAGGGUUAGGGUUAGGGUUAGGGUUGCAGCUAGGGUUAGGGUUAGGGUUAGGGUUAUGGUUGGAGCUAGGGUUAGGGUUAGGGUUAGGGUUGUAGCUACGGUUAGGGUUAGGGUUAGGGUUGGAGCUAGGGUUAGGGUAGGGUUGCAGCUAGGGUUAGGGAUAGGGUUGGAGUUAGGGUUAGGGUUAGGGUUGAGGCUGGGGUUAGGGUUAGGGUUGGAGCUAGGGUUAGGGUUAGGGUUGGAGUUAGGGUUAGGGUUUGAGCUAGGGUUAGGGUUAGGGUUGCAGCUAGGGUUAGGGUAAGGGUUUGAGCUAGGGUUAGGGUUGGGUUGCAGCUAGGGUUAGGGUUAGGGUUGGAGCUAGGGUUAGGGUUAGUGUUGCAGAUAGGGUUAGGGUUAAGGUUGGAGCUAGGGUUAGGGUUAGGGUUGCAGCUAGGGUUAGGGUUAGGGUUGCAGCUAGGGUUAGGGUUAGGGUUAGGGUUAUGGUUGGAGCUAGGGUUAGGGUUAGGGUUGGAGCUAGGGUUAGGGUUAGGGUUGAGCUAGGGUUAGGGUUAGGGUUGGAGUUAGGGUUAGGGUUAGGGUUGGUGCUAGGGUAAGGGUUAGGGUUAGGGUUGCAGCUAGGGUUAGGGUUAGGGUUAGUGUUGCAGCUAGGGUAAGGGUUAGGGUUGGAGCUAGGUUUAGGGUUAGGGUUUGGGUUGCAGCUAGGGUUAGGGUUAUGGUUAUGGUUGGAGCUAGGGUUAGGGUUAGGGUUGCAGCUAGGGUUAGGGUUAGGGUUGGAGCUAGGGUUAGGGUUAGGGUUGGAGCUAGGGUUAGGGUUAGGGUUGGAGCUAGGGUUAGGGUUAGGGUUAGGGUUGGAGCUAGGGUUAGGGUUAGGGUUAGGGUUGCAGCUAGGGUUAGGGUUAGGGUUAGGGUUAGGGCUAGGGUUAGGGUUGGAGCUAGGGUUAGGGUUAGGGUUGGAGCUAGGGUUAGGGUUAGGGUUGGAGCUAGGGUUAGGGUUAGGGUUAGGGUUGGAGCUAGGGUUAGGGUUAGGGUUGCAGCUAGGGUUAGGGUUAGGGUUAGGGUUAGGGUUGGAGUUAGGGUUAGGGUUAGGGUUGCAGCUAGGGUUAGGGUUAGGGUUAGGGUUGGAGCUAGGGUUAGGGUUAGGGUUGCAGCUAGGGUUAGGGUUAGGGUUAGGGUUAUGGUUGGAGCUAGGGUUAGGGUUUUGAGCUAGGGUUAGGGUUAGGGUUAGUGUUGCAGCUAGGGUUAGGGUUAGGGUUAGGGUUGCAGCUAGGGUUAGGGUUAGGGUUAGGGUUAGGGUUGGAGCUAGGGUUAGGGUUAGGGUUUGAGCUAGGGUUAGGGUUAGGGUUAGGGUUAGUGUUGCAGCUAGGGUUAGGGUUAGGGUUAGGGUUGGAGCUAGGGUUAGGGUUAGGGUUAGGGUUGCAGCUAGGGUUAGGGUUAGGGUUAUGGUUGGAGCUAGGGUUAGGGUUAGGGUUGUAGCUAGGGUUAGGGUUAGGGUUAGGGUUAGGGUUGGAGCCAGGGUUAGGGUUAGGGUUGCAGCUAGGGUUAGGGUUAGGGUUGGAGUAAGGGUUAGGGUUAGGGUUGAGGCUGGGGUUAGGGUUAGGGUUUGAGCUAGGGUUAGGGUUAGGGUUAGGGUUGCAGCUAGGGUUAGGGUUAGGGUUAGGGUUGGAGCUAGGGUUAGGGUUAGGGUUAGGGUUGCAGCUAGGGUUAGGGUUAGGGUUAGGGUUAAGGUUUGAGCUAGGGUUGGGGUUAGGGUUAGGGUUGUAGCAAGGGUUAGGGUUAGGGUUAGGGUUGGAGCUAGGGUUAGGGUUAGGGUUGCAGCUAGGGUUAGGGUUAGGGUUAGGGUUGGAGUUAGGGUUAGGGUUAGGGUUGGAGCUCGGGUAAGGGUUAGGGUUAGGGUUGCAGCUAGGGUUAGGGUUAUGGUUAGUGUUGCAGCUAGGGUUAGGGUUAGGGUUGGAGCUAGGGUUAGGGUUAGGGUUGCAGCUAGGGUUAGGGUUAUGGUUGGAGCGAGGGUUAGGGUUAGGGUUGCAGCUAGGGUUAGGGUUAGGGUUGGAGCUAGGGUUAGGGUUAGGGUUGGAGUUAGGGUUAGGGUUAGGGUUGGAGCUAGGGUUAGGGUUAGGGUUGCAGCUAGGGUUAGGGUUAGGGUUAGAGUUAUGGUUGGAGCUAGGGUUAGGGUUAGGGUUAGGGUUGGAGCUAGGGUUAGGGUUAGGGUUAGGGUUGGAGCUAGGGUUAGGGUUAGGGUUGGAGCUAGGGUUAGGGUUAGGGUUAGGGUUGCAGCUAGGGUUAGGGUUAGGGUUUGAGCUAGGGUUAGGGUUAGGGUUAGUGUUGCAACUAGGGUUAGGGUUAGGGUUAGAGUUAGGGUUAGGGUUAGGGUUGCAGCUAGGGUUAGGGUUAGGGUUAGGGUUAUGGUUGGAGCUAGGGUUAGGGUUAGGGUUAGGGUUGUAGCUAGGGUUAGGGUUAGGGUUAGGGUUGGAGCCAGGGUUAGGGUUAGGGUUGCAGCUAGGGUUAGGUUUAGGGUUGGAGUAAGGGUUAGGGUUAGGGUUGAGGCUGGGGUUAGGGUUAGGGUUGGAGCUAGGGUUAGGGUUAGGGUUGGAGUUAGGGUUAGGGUUGGAGCUAGGGUUAGGGUUAGGGUUGCAGCUAGGGUUAGGGUAAGGGUUUGAGCUAGGGUUAGGGUUGGGUUGCAGCUAGGGUUAGGGUUAGGGUUGGAGCUAGGGUUAGGGUUAGGGUUGCAGCUAGGGUUAGGGUUAGGGUUGAGCUAGGGUUAGGGUUAGGGUUGCAGCUAGGGUUAGGGUUAGGGUUGAGGCUGGGGUUGGGGUUAGGGUUAGGGUUGCAGCUAGGGUUAGGGUUAGGGUUGGAGCUAGGGUUAGGGUUAGGGUUGGAGUUAGGGUUAGGGUUAAAGCUAGGGUUAGGGUUAGGGUUAGGGUUGCAGCUAGGGUUAAGGUUAGGGUUAGGUUUGCAGCUAGGGUUAGGGUUAGGGUUAGGGUUGCAGCUAGGGUUAGGGUUAGGGUUAUGGUUGGAGCUAGGGUUAGGGUUAGGGUUGGAGUUUGGGUUAGGGUUAGGGUUGCAGCUAGGGUUAGGGUUAGGUUUAGGGUUGAGGGUAGGGUUAGGGUUGCAGCUAGGGUUAGGGUUGGGGUUGAGGAAAGGGUUAGGGUUAGGGUUGGAGCUAGGGUUAAGGUUAGGGUUGGAGCUAGGGUUAGGGUUAGGGUUAGGGUUCGAGUGGAGCUAGGGUUAGGGUUAGGGUUAGGGUUGCAGCUAGGGUUAGGGUUAGGGUAAGAGCUAGGGUUAGGGUUAGGGUUGCAGCUAGGGUUAGGGUUAGGGUUAGGUUUGCAGCUAGGGUUAGGGUUAGGUUUAGGGUUUGAGCUAGGGUUAGGGUUAGGGUUGGAGUUAGGGUUAGGGUUAGGGUUGGAGCUAGGGUUAGGGUUAGGGUUGGAGUUAGGGUUAGGGUUAGGGUUGGUGCUAGGGUUAGGGUUAGGGUUAGGGUUGCAGCUAGGGUUAGGGUUAGGGUUAGUGUUGCAGCUAGGGUUAGGGUUAGGGUUGGAGCUAGGGUUAGGGUUAGGGUUGCAGCUAGGGUUAGGGUUAGGGUUAUGGUUGGAGCUAGGGUUAGGGUUAGUGUUGCAGCUAGGGUUAGGGUUAGGGUUGAGCUAGGGUUAGGGUUAGGGUUGCAGCUAGGGUUAGGGUUAGGGUUUAGGGUUAGGGUUAGGGUUGGAGCUAGGGUUAGGGUAGGGGGUUAGGGUUGGAGUUAGGGUAGUGUUAGGGUUAGGGUUGCAGCUAGGGUUGGAGUUAGGGUUAGGGUUAGGGUUGGAGCUAGGGUUAGGGUUAGGGUUGGAGCUAGGGUUAGGGUUGGGUUAGGGUUAUGGUUGGAGCUAGGGUUAGGGUUAGGGUUAGGGUUUGCAGCUAGGGUUAGGGUUAGGGUUGUUGAGCUAGGGUUAGGGUUAGGGUUGCAGCUAGGGUUAGGGUUAGGGUUAGGGUUUGCAGCUAGGGUUAGGGUUAGGGUUAGGUUUGAGCUAGGGUUAGGGUUAGGGUUGGAGCUAUGGUUAGGGUUAGGGUUAGGGUUGGAGCUAGGGUUAGGGUUAGGGUUGCAGCUAGGGUUAGGGUUAGGGUUGGAGUUAGGGUUAGGGUUAGGGUUGAGCUAGGUUAGGGUUAGGGUUAGGGUUGGAGCUAGGGUUAGGGUUAGGGUUGGAGCUAGGGUUAGGGUUAGGGUUGCAGCUAGGUUAGGGUUAGGGUUAGGUUAUGGUUGGAGCUAGGGUUAGGGUUAGGGUUGGGUUGCAGCUAGGGUUAGGGUUAGGGUUAGGGUUGCAGCUAGGGUUGGAGCUAGGGUUAGGGUUAGGGUUGGAGCUAGGGUUAGGGUUAGGGUUGCAGCUAGGGUAUUAGGGUUAGGGUUGCAGCUAGGGUUGGAGCUAGGGUUAGGGUUAGGGUUGAGCUAGGGUUAGGGUUAGGGUUAGGGUUGCAGCUAGGGUUAGGGUUAGGGUUGGAGCUAGGGUUAGGGGGUUUGAGCUAGGGUUAGGGUUAGGGUUAGGUUGCAGCUAGGGUUAGGGUUAGGGUUGGAGCUAGGGUUAGGGUUAGGGUUAGGGUUGCAGCUAGGGUUAGGGUUAGGGUUGGAGUUAGGGUUAGGGUUAGGGUUGCAGCUAGGGUUAGGGUUAGGGUUAGGGUUAAGGUUGGAGCUAGGGUUAGGGUUGGAGCUAGGGUUAGGGUUAGGGUUAGGGUUGGAGCUAGGGUUAGGAUUAGGGUUGCAGCUAGGGUUAGGGUUAGGGUUGGAGUUAGGGUUAGGGUUGGAGCUAGGGUUAGGGUUAGGGUUAGGGUUUGAGCUAGGGUUAGGGUUAGGGUUGGAGCUAGGGUUAGGGUUAGGGUUAGGGUUGCAGCUAGGGUUAGGGUUAGGGUUAGGGUUGCAGCUAGGGUUAGGGUUAGGGUUAGGGUUGCAGCUAGGGUUAGGGUUGCAGCUAGGGUUAGGGUUAGGGUUAGGGUUAGGGUUGGAGCUAGGGUUAGGGUUGCAGCUAGGGUUAGGGUUAGGGUUAGGGUUAGGGUUAGCAGGGUAGGGUUAGGGUUAGGGUUGAGCUAGGGUUAGGGUUAGGGUUAGGGUUGCAGCUAGGGUUAGGGUUAGGGUUAGGGUUGGAGCUAGGGUUAGGGUUAGGGUUGCAGCUAGGGUUAGGGUUAGGGUUAGGGUUGGAGCUAGGGUUAGGGUUAGGGUUGGAGCUAGGGUUAGGGUUAGGGUUGGAGCUACGGUUAGGGUUAGGGUUGGAGUUAGGGUUAGGGUUAGGGUUAGGGCUGGAGCUAGGGUUAGGGUUAGGGUUAGGGUUGCAGCUAGGGUUAGGGAUAGGGUUAGGGUUAAGGUUGGAGCUAGGAUUAGGGUUGUAGCUAGGGUUAGGGUUAGGGUUAGGGUUAGGUUUAGGGUUGGAGCCAUGGUUAGGGUUAGGGUUAGGGUUGCAGCUAGGGUUGGCGCUAGGGUUAGGGUUAGGGUUCGAGCUAGGGUUAGGGUUAGGGUAAGGGUUGCAGCUAGGGUUAGGGUUAGGGUUAUGGUUGGAGCUAGGGGUAGGGUUUGAGCUAGGGUUAGGGUUAGGGUUAGUGUUGCAGCUAGGGUUAGGGUUAGGGUUAAGGUUGGAGCUAGGGUUAGGGUUAUGGAUAGGGUUGAGCUAGGGUUAGGGUUAGGGUUAGGGUUGGAGCUAGGGUUAGGGUUGGAGCUAGGGUUAGGGUUGCAGCAAGGGUUAGGGUAGGGUUUUAGCUAGGGUUAGGGUUAGGGUGCAGCUAGGGUUAGGGUUAGGGUUGGAGCUAGGGUUAGGGUUAGGGUUGCAGCUAGGGUUAGGUUUAGGGUUAGGGUUGGAGUUAGGGUUAGGGUUGCAGCUAGGGUUAGGGUUAGGGUUGAGGCUGGGGUUGGGGUUAGGGUUAGGGUUGCAGCUAGGAUUAGGGUUAGGGUUGGAGCUAGGGUUAGGGUUAGGGUUGGAGUUAGGGUUAGGGUUAGGGUUGCAGCUAGGGUUAGGGUUAGGGUUAGGGUUGAGGCUAGGGUUAGGGUUAGGGUUAGGGUUGCAGGUAGGGUUAGGGUUAGGGUUGAGAGGGUUAGGGUUAGGGUUAGGGUUGAGGUUAGGGUUAGGGUUGCAGCUAGGGUUAGGGUUAGGGCAGCUAGGGUUAGGGUUAGGGUGAGAGGCUAGGGUUAGAGGGUUAGGGUUAGGGUUGGAGCUAGGGUUAGGGUUAGGGUUGGAGUAGGGUUAGGGUUGGGCUAGGGUUUGAGUUAGGGUCAGGGUUGCAGCUAGGGUUAGGGUUAGGGUUGAGCUAGGGUUAGGGUUAGGGUUAGGGUUGCAGCUAGGGUUAGGGUUAGGGUUAGGGUUUGCAGCUAGGGUUAGGGUUAGGGUUAGGGUUGGAGGGUUAGGGUUAGGGUUGCAGCUAGGGUUAGGGUUAGGGUUAGGGUUAGGUUGCAGCUAGGGUUAGGGUUAGGGUUGCAGCUAGGUUUAGGGUUAGGGUUGUAGCUACGGUUGGGGUUAGGGUUGGAGCUAGGGUUAGGGUUAGGGUUAGGGUUGGAGCUAGGGCUAGGGUUAGGGUUGCAGCUAGGGUUGGCGCUAGGGUUAGGGUUAGGGUUCGAGCUAGGGUUAGGGUUAGGGUUAGGGUUGCAGCUAGGGUUAGGGUUAUGGUUGGAGCUAGGGUUAGGGUUUAAGCUAGGGUUAGGGUUAGGGUUAGUGUUGCAGUUAGGGUUGGAUAGGGUUAGGGUUAGGGUUGGAGCUAGGGUUAGGGUUAGGGUUAGGGUUGCAGCUAGGGUUAGGGUUAGGGUUAGGGUUAUGGUUGGAGCUAGGGUUAGGGUUGUAGCUAGGGUUAGGGUUAGGGUUAGGGUUGGAGCUAGGGUUAGGGUUAGGGUUGCAGCUAGGGUUAGGGUUAGGGUUGGAGUUAGGGUUAGGGUUUGAGCUAGGGUUAGGGUUAGUGUUAGGGUUUGAGCUAGGGUUACGGUUAGGGUUGGAGCUAGGGUUAGGGUUAGGGUUAGGGUUGCGAGCUAGGGUUGGCGUUAGGGUUAGGGUUGCAGAGGGUUAGGGUGCAAGGGUUAGGGUUAGGGUUAGGGUUAGGGUUAGGGUUGCAGGCUAGGGUUAGGGUUAGGGUUGGAGCUAGGGUUAGGGUUAGGGUUGCAGCUAGGGUUAGGGUUUAGGGUUAGGGUUGGAGUUAGGGUUAGGGUUUGCUAGGGUUAGGGUUAGGGUUAGGGUUGCAGCUAGGGUUAGGGUUAGGGUUAGGGUUAGGGUUAGGGUUGCAGCUAGGGUUAGGGUUAGGGUUGCAGCUAGGGUUAGGGUUAGGGUUGAGGCUGGGGGGUGAUUAGGGUUAGGUUGGAGCUAGGGUUAGGGUUAGGGUUGGAGUUAGGGUUAGGGUUGGAGCUAGGGUUAGGAGUUAGGGUUAGGGUUGAGCUAGGGUUAGGGUUAGGGUUGAGCUGGGUUAGUUAGGGUUAGGUUGCAGCUAGGGUUAGGGUUAGGGUUAGGGUUGGGUUGAGCUAGGGUUAGGGUUGCUAGGGUUAGGGUUGGGUAGGUUGAGCUAGGGUUAGGGUUAGGGUUAGGGUUGUUGGUAGGGUUAGGGUUAGGUUAGGUUAGGGUUAGGGUUAGGGUUAGGGUUAGGGUUGGUUAGGGAGCUAGGGUUAGGGUUAGGGUUAGGUUGCAGCUAGGGUUAGGGUUAGGGUUCAGCUAGGGUUAGGGUUGCAGCUAGGGUUAGGGUUAGGGUUAGGUUUGCAGCUAGGGUUAGGGUUAGGGUUAGGGUUGGAGCUAGGGUUAGGGUUAGGGUUUGAGCUAGGGUUAGGGUUAGGGUUGGAGCUAGGGUUAGGGUUAGGGUCAGGGUUGAAGCUAGGGUUAGGGUUAGGGUUAGGGUUAGGGUUGCAGCUAGGGUUAGGGUUAGGGUUAGGUUUGCCGCUAGGGUUAGGGUUAGGGUUAGGGUUGGAGCUAGGGUUAGGGUUAGGGUUUGAGCUAGGGUUAGGGUUAGGGUUAGGGUUAGGGUUAGGGUUGCAGCUAGGGUUAGGGUUAGGGUUAGGGUUGCAGCUAGGGUUAGGGUUAGGGUUAGGGUUGCAGCUAGGGUUAGGGUUAGGGUUGAGGCUGGGGUUAUGGUUAGGGUUAGGGUUGGAGCUAGGGUUAGGGUUAGGGUUGGAGUUAGGGUUAGGGUUGGAGCUAGGGUUAGGGUUAGGGUCAGGGUUGAAGCUAGAGUUAGGGUUAGGGUUAGGGUUAGGGUUGCAGCUAGGGUUAGGGUUAGGGUUAGGUUUGCAGCUAGGGUUAGGGUUAGGGUUAGGGUUGGAGCUAGGGUUAGGGUUAGGGUUUGAGCUAGGGUUAGGGUUAGGGUUAGUGUUGAAGCUAGGGUUAGGGUUAGGGUUAGGGUUGCAGCUAGGGUUAGGGUUAGGGUUAGGUUUGCAGCUAGGGUUAGGGUUAGGGUUAGGGUUGGAGCUAGGGUUAGGGUUUGAGCUAGGGUUAGGGUUGGAGCUAGGGUUAGGGUUAGGGUCAGGGUUGAAGCUAGGGUUAGGGUUAGGGUUAGGGUUAGGGUUGCAGCUAGGGUUAUGGUUAGGGUUAGGUUUGCAGCUAGGGUUAGGGUUAGGGUUAGGGUUGGAGCUAGGGUUAGGGUUAGGGUUUGAGCUAGGGUUAGGGUUAGGGUUAGUGUUGCAGCUAGGGUUUGGGUUAGGGUUAGGGUUGGAGCUAGGGUUAGGGUUAGGGUUAGGGUUGCAGCUAGGGUCAGGGUUAGGGUUAGGGUUAUGGUUGGAGCUAGGGUUAGGGUUAGGGUUUGAGUUAGGGUUAGGGUUAGGGUUGGCGCUAGGGUUAGGGUUAGGGUUGCAGCUAGGGUUAGGGUUAGGGUUUGAGUUAGGGUUAGGGUUGAGGCUGGGGUUAGGGUUAGGGUUGGAGCUAGGGUUAGGGUUAGGGUUGGAGUUAGGGUUAGGGUUGGAGCUAGGGUUAGGGUUGCAGCAAGGGUUAGGGUAAGGGUUUUAGCUAGGGUUAGGGUUAGGGUUGCAGCUAGGGUUAGGGUUAGGGUUGGAGCUAGGGUUAGGGUUAGGGUUGCAGCUAGGGUUAGGUUUAGGGUUAGGGUUGGGGUUAGGGUUAGGGUUGCAGCUAGGGUUAGGGUUAGGGUUGAGGCUGGGGUUGGGGUUAGGGUUAGGGUUGCAGCUAGGGUUAGGGUUAGGGUUGGAGCUAGGGUUAGGGUUAGGGUUGGAGUUAGGGUUAGGGUUAGGGUUGCAGCUAGGGUUAGGGUUAGGGUUAGGGUUGAGGCUAGGGUUAGGGUUAGGGUUAGGGUUGCAGGUAGGGUUAGGGUUAGGGUUGCAGCUAGGGUUAGGGUUAGGGUUAGGGUUAGGGUUGCAGCUAGGGUUAGGGUUAGGGUUGCAGCUAGGGUUAGGGUUAGGGUUGAGGCUGGGGUUAUGAUUAGGGUUAGGGUUGGAGCUAGGGUUAGGGUUAGGGUUGGAGUAAGGGUUAGGGUUGGAGCUAGGGUUAGGGUUAGGGUUAGGGUUGCAGCUAGGGUUAGGGUUAGGGUUAGGUUUGCAGCUAGGGUUAGGGUUAGGGUUAGGGUUGGAGCUAGGGUUAGGGUUGCAGCUAGGGUUAGGGUUAGGGUUAGGGUUAUGGUUGGAGCUAGGGUUAGGGUUAGGGUUGGAGCUAGGGUUAGGGUUAGGGUUAGGGUUGCAGCUAGGGUUAGGGUUAGGGUUAGGGUUGGAGCUAGGGUUAGGGUUAGGGUUGCAGCUAGGGUUAGGGUUAGGGUUAGGGUUGGAGUUAGGGUUAGGGUUGCAGCUAGGGUUAGGGUAAUGGUUGAGGCUGGGGUUAGGGUUAGGGUUAGGGUUGGAGCUAGGGUUAGGGUUAGGGUUGGAGUUAGGGUUAGGGUUGGAGCUAGGGUUAGGGUUAGGGUUGCAGCUAGGGUUAGGGUUAGGGUUGAGGCUGGGGUUAUGGUUAGGGUUAGGGUUGGAGCUAGGGUUUGGGUUAGGGUUGGAGUUAGGGUUAGGGUUGGAGCUAGGGUUAGGGUUAGGGUCAGGGUUGCAGCUAGGGUUAGGGUUAGGGUUUGAGCUAGGGUUAGGGUUAGGGUUAGGGUUGCAGCUAGGGUUAGGGUUAGGGUUAGGGUUGCAGCUAGGGUUAGGGUUAGGGUUAGGGUUUCAGCUAGGGUUAGGGUUAGGGUUAGGGUUGCAGCUAGGGUUAGGGUAAGGGUUUGAGCUAGGGUUAGGGUUGCAGCUAGGGUUAGGGUUAGGGUUAGGGUUAGGGUUAGGGUUGGAGCUAGGGUUAGGGUUAGGGUUGCAGCUAGGGUUAGGGUUAGGGUUAGGGUUGCAGCUAGGGUUAGGGUUAGGGUUAGGGUUUCAGCUAGGGUUAGGGUUAGGGUUAGGGUUGCAGCUAGGGUUAGGGUAAGGGUUAGGGUUUGAGCUAGGGUUAGGGUUGCAGCUAGGGUUAGGGUUAGGGUUAGGGUUGGAGCUAGGGUUAGGGUUAGGGUUGCAGCUAGGGUUAGGGUUAGGGUUAGGGUUGCAGCUAGGGUUAGGGUUAGGGUUAGGGUUGGAGCUAGGGUUAGGGUUAGGGUUGCAGCUAGGGUUAGGGUUGGAGCUAGGGUUAGGGUUUGGGUUGCAGGUAGGGUUAGGGUUAGGGUUGGAGCUAGGGUUAGGGUUAGGGUUGCAGCUAGGGUUAGGGUUAGGGUUGGAGCUAGGGUUAGGGUUAGGGUUGCAGCUAGGGUUAGGGUUAGGGUUGAAGCUAGGGUUAGGGUUAGGGUUAGGGUUAUGGUAGGAGCCAGGGUUAGGGUUAGGGUUAGGGUUCGAGCUAGGGUUAGGGUUAGGGUUAGGGUUAGGGUUAGGGUUGCAGCUAAGGUUAGGGUUAGGGUUGCAGCUAGGGAUAGGUUUAGGGUUGGAGCUAGGGUUAGCGUUAGGGUUGCAGCUUGGGUUAGGGUUAGGGUUAGCGUUGGAGUUAGGGUUAGGGUUAGGGUUUCAGCUAGGGUUAGGGUUAGGGUUAGGGUUGAGGCUAGGGUUAGGGUUAGGGUUAGGGUUGCAGGUAGGGUUAGGGUUAGGGUUGCAGCUAGGGUUAGGGUUAGGGUUAGGGUUGCAGCUAGGGUUAGGGUUAGGGUUGCAGCUAGGGUUAGGGUUAGGGUUGAGGCUGGGGUUAUGAUUAGGGUUAGGGUUGGAGCUAGGGUUAGGGUUAGGGUUGGAGUUAGGGUUAGGGUUGGAGCUAGGGUUAGGGUUAGGGUUAGGGUUGCAGCUAGGGUUAGGGUUAGGGUUAGGUUUGCAGCUAGGGUUAGGGUUAGGGUUAGGGUUGGAGCUAGGGUUAGGGUUGCAGCUAGGGUUAGGGUUAGGGUUAGGGUUAUGGUUGGAGCUAGGGUUAGGGUUAGGGUUGGAGCUAGGGUUAGGGUUAGGGUUAGGGUUGCAGCUAGGGUUAGGGUUAGGGUUAGGGUUGGAGCUAGGGUUAGGGUUAGGGUUGCAGCUAGGGUUAGGGUUAGGGUUAGGGUUGGAGUUAGGGUUAGGGUUGCAGCUAGGGUUAGGGUUAUGGUUGAGGCUGGGGUUAGGGUUAGGGUUAGGGUUGGAGCUAGGGUUAGGGUUAGGGUUGGAGUUAGGGUUAGGGUUGGAGCUAGGGUUAGGGUUAGGGUUGCAGCUAGGGUUAGGGUUAGGGUUGAGGCUGGGGAUAUGGUUAGGGUUAGGGUUGGAGCUAGGGUUUGGGUUAGGGUUGGAGUUAGGGUUAGGGUUGGAGCUAGGGUUAGGGUUAGGGUCAGGGUUGCAGCUAGGGUUAGGGUUAGGGUUUGAGCUAGGGUUAGGGUUAGGGUUAGGGUUGCAGCUAGGGUUAGGGUUAGGGUUAGGGUUGCAGCUAGGGUUAGGGUUAGGGUUAGGGUUUCAGCUAGGGUUAGGGUAAGGGUUUGAGCUAGGGUUAGGGUUGCAGCUAGGGUUAGGGUUAGGGUUAGGGUUAGGGUUAGGGUUGCAGCUAGGGUUAGGGUUAGGGUUGCAGCUAGGGUUAGGGUUAGGGUUAGGGUUGCAGCUAGGGUUAGGGUUAGGGUUAGGGUUUCAGCUAGGGUUAGGGUUAGGGUUAGGGUUGCAGCUAGGGUUAGGGUAAGGGUUAGGGUUUGAGCUAGGGUUAGGGUUGCAGCUAGGGUUAGGGUUAGGGUUAGGGUUGGAGCUAGGGUUAGGGUUAGGGUUGCAGCUAGGGUUAGGGUUAGGGUUAGGGUUGCAGCUAGGGUUAGGGUUAGGGUUAGGGUUGGAGCUAGGGUUAGGGUUAGGGUUGCAGCUAGGGUUAGGGUUGGAGCUAGGGUUAGGGUUGGGUUGCAGGUAGGGUUAGGGUUAGGGUUGGAGCUAGGGUUAGGGUUAGGGUUGCAGCUAGGGUUAGGGUUAGGGUUGGAGCUAGGGUUAGGGUUAGGGUUGCAGCUAGGGUUAGGGUUAGGGUUGAAGCUAGGGUUAGGGUUAGGGUUAGGGUUAUGGUAGGAGCCAGGGUUAGGGUUAGGGUUAGGGUUCGAGCUAGGGUUAGGGUUAGGGUUAGGGUUAGGGUUAGGGUUGCAGCUAAGGUUAGGGUUAGGGUUGCAGCUAGGGAUAGGUUUAGGGUUGGAGCUAGGGUUAGCGUUAGGGUUGCAGCUUGGGUUAGGGUUAGGGUUAGCGUUGGAGUUAGGGUUAGGGUUAGGGUUGCAGCUAGGGUUAGGGUUACGGGUUAGGGUUGAGGCUGGGGUUAGGGUUAGGGUUGUAGCUAGGGUUAGGGUUAGGGUUGGAGCUAGGGUUAGGGUUAGGGUUGAGGCUAGGGUUAGGGUUAGGGUUGCAGCUAGGGUUAGGGUUAGGGUUAGGGUUAGGGGUUAGGGUUAGGGUUAGGGGUUAGGGUUAGGGUUAGGGUUAGGGUUAGACUAAGACCAAUAGACACGUACUGACCAGUUUUAUAUGGCACAUUUACAGUUUCCAUGCAUGCAGACAGAUGUUGUUUUUUUUUACUUAAAAUUGAAUCAGUCGCUUAAUAUUGAUCAUCUGUGAUCUGUAGGAUAGUCUUGCCUUCUGUGCAACUUUGAGAGACAUAAAAACUCAGCGACAUAAAUUAAGACCAAAUAGACUUUGGAUUUAAUAAUGUUUUGCCACGCUGUUCUGUGCAAGGCUGCUUAGCCAUUUUGUGGCGUCUGUGGCGAGGGUUUUCUUCUUCCUAAUUUUCUCUUUUUUUGCUCCAUUUCCUUGUCUUCUUUUCCCUCCUUUCCAUUUCACCAUGGUGAUCAUGUUGCCUUAUGUCAGUUCAGAAACAGGGAGUAGACAAUUGUUAUGUAUGUUGCAUGGCACUUUGUCAUGACAUCAUAUUUUGCAAACGGCGGCUGGAACCCAAGGGCAGAUAGAUUAGCACUAUUAACCCACCGUGAGAGAUGCACUUGCAUGAGAUGAUGCAUGCAUUCAAAGCAGUCUAUUCACUCACUGACCGCUCAUUUAAGGCCAAAUAGACCCUCAGGCCACAGGGAACAUCUUGGUGCUCUCAACAUACAUCAGUGUCUGGUCCCACGGCUCCUCCUGCCAGAUUGCCUCUGUGCAUGCCUUGGCAUUGCUGCAAAUAGCUCCAAUCAAGAUGCUAUCGUGAAUGAAAAUACCCACACCACAUUCAAAAGACAGAUACAGAGUGGCUCAGCUCAUAGUGUCAUAACUUUUGCAACAUGGACUUCUUUUGCUUCCCAAAGCCAUAAAAUCAACAUAAAGAGCCCAGGCAGAGAGCUCUUUUCAUUAUGUGGUGAACAUCAGAGGAGGCAGUGGUUAGUGAACGCCCUCUCUUUAAUGGGCUCAUAUUUUCUGGUUCAAGCAAUGAUGGCAGACUGAGCAUUAUUCAUUAUUUAUUAUAUUAAUAUAAGUGCAUGGAUACACCAUGAUUUAAGGUCAAACAGGUAGAGCCCUGAUUCAAGAGUCAGCCUUUGUUAGUAAACCAGGAGUUACAUUUGUUGCCAUCAUUUUUUUAGUCAGAGCUCAAUCUUAAACCCCUCACUCUUCUGGUAUUUAAUUGUGCUCAAAUGGACAUGUUUACAGGGAGGCUUUAAUGGUUCCACUGCUGAUGGUUUCAUGUAUCCGUAAUCAUUACUGUAAAAUCCACUCUAGAGCCUCACAGAGGAGUUAGCACUGCAAGGUUUUAUCCUCUGCCAUUAUUCUGUUGCUCUGUUUCCCAUUACUGCGCCAUUACCCCCCCAGCACUGAGCCUUUUUUGUGAUGAACUCAGUGUUUUAGCUGACAUUCGAGACUAAAGUCCAAAUGAGUUUUUCAGGGAUGACCACAGCAGAGCAGCUUUGAGGUGAUGUAAGACUUUCCAGCUUUUGUACAAGGUUGAGAGAGUUUGUGGGCCGUGAAUGGUGACUGACUUGAAACCCAAGCCAGGUCAUCAUUAUUUACGAUGAUUCUCACAGGAGGCAUUCAUUCUUUGUCCUUUUAGGGGCAUACAUAGAGACCCUCUCAAGAAAGAUAUGACUUUAUUUUCCAACACUGAGCCAAGAAAACAUCCCGUUUGAUGUUGCUGGCCAAACACCUCAUCCAAGAAAGCUUUGACAAAGAGCAAUCACAAAGAAAUACUCUCUGAUAUGCAGCAUCUAAUUUUAAGAUAGCAAAAAAUCAGUGUUUCAAAACUGUAUUCAGAGAGGAGUUGAUACUGAAAAAGCAAAGCCAAGGGCACACAUUGGCUUUUAUUUAAAGGUACUUGAGAUCGCCAAAGGGAAACAAAGGCUUGAUUAAUAAUGCACAAGCCUCACUUUGAUUUAAUUAUUCACUAGAUUUCUAAGAAACAAUAAGGGCAACAAUAACAAGAAGUAGAUGUACUGUCAUUUUUUGUCAGUGCGCAGAGGCUGUGAGCUAUGGCAGCUCAUGAUUAAAAUUUAAUACCUCUAUCGGCUACAAUGAUGUGGUACAAAACAAGCUAAUAGAAAGAAGAGUGUGAAGGAGAGGAGAGGGAAAAGGGUAUUUAAAAAGAGGGGAUCAACUUCUAGAGGAGCUCAGAGAGGGAUGAAGGAAGUUUUGCAUUUUAUUUCUUCAAAUUGUUUACCACCACUUUGAAGUUGUCAGCAGUGUUCAUGGAGAAAAACGUCUAUUUAAAACAUUUUUGCUUCUGCUGCUUACUUACAAGAAAAACUUCAAAUCAAACAGCGGAAAUUGACUUGACUCCAAAAGGUAUUUAUCUUUGCAGCAACAACAUAAAGCUUUUUUCUUUAGGUAAAAAAGUGGCUGUAUGAGAGUGUGUAUUUUGUUGUUUUAAGGAGAAUCAAUGUUUGAGCCAAAGGUGAAUGUUUAUACCCGGCUCAGAGACAGCAUCCAUUUGUGGCAUAAAUUUCUACAGGCAUUACUCCAAAGAUGUUUUGUACCCAAGAGAUGUAUCACUUACAGAAAGAGAGUUGAAUACAGAGAACCAGAAAUGGACCAUGAAGGAGCAGACUGAAAUCUACAGCCAACAAUGUCAGACGGUUAAGGGCUGUGUUUGAACUAGUUUGUUAUCAGAGUAAUGAAUUCUGCUGAGCACCUUGAAUUGAAUUAACCCGUAUCCAACACAAGCAAAGAGAAACACAGAUGCAGUUCACCCACACGUUCCUGGGAGAACCCUUCCUUUAAGACAAUUUAAUUGGAUUUUCUUACAUAAAACUUACCUUGCCAAUGUUUUUCAAACUCUAAGAGAAGUGUCCUUAAAAUGAAAACUUGAAAUUGAUUGCUGUGAAUAUGUACUCACAGAUGUGACCAGAGCAGGGCCACUAGUACAGCAGUUUUACAAAUAGAAACGGAGGGAGCAUUUAUAGUGUAGAGAGAGAAAUAAAAAUAAUAGAUGAAACACAAACAGGACAAGUGAGUGAAGAGACCGAGAGCAAGAGUGGGAAUAAGAGGGAGCCUUUCUUCCUCCUCCAAGAGGAACCUGUUUUUACAGCAGCAAUCAGUCAGUGCUGGAGUUGUGGCUGGAAACAGAGACGGAGAGGAUGGAGGGAACAUAAAACAGAUGAUGGGAAAUAACAGCACGGCAGCAUAAACACAGGAGUCACAGUUUUAAAAUGCCAACGUUUACUGCUGGCAGAUGCUCAAACAGGCAGUCUGCGGGAGAGGCAGGGAGAGAAAUGUAACACUCAAGGCACGCCUCCAUACUAUGAAGGUUAUAUACAUCAAUUAAACAGGACGAUGUAUAUAAUUUUUCAAUGAAAUGUAUGUAUGUAUCCUAAACUCCUGUAUAGCAAUAAUAUGCAAAUUUCAUGUUUAGAAAUGAUCAAACAAGAGCUUGGAGUGAAGACAAUAUUUAAAGCAGGUUUAACUUUGAUUUAGAUGAAUAGAAAAUGCUCCUCAUUUUGAUAUUACAGUGAUGGUAUUACAUUUAAUGUCCUGCAGAUGGCAGCAGAGUCAUUUAAGAGAACAGCUCUCAGAUUUCUCCAAGAGAAGAGAAAGAACGUAGUUUAGACAGAAAAGACUGAAAGUGAAAAAUCUAUCUAUCUAUCUAUCUAUCUAUCUAUCUAUCUAUCUAUCUAUCUAUCUAUCUAUCUAUCACCUCAUCUUUGUCCAUCAGUGUCACCUCCUCUCUCAUCCACCUAUGAUAGCUCUUCAGCAGUCAUGUUGGUGACAUUCAGAGAUCAUGAUUCGACAGGCAAAUGGAGUAGAUCCAUCACUUGCACUCGGAGCAGCCUGAGGUAAGAAGGGAUCCUGCUGUCUCGACAUUUUUAUUUAUUUAUUAUUGCUCCUCGGCGCCUCAUUUGCAUCAUCACUGUCUCAGCGCAAAGCAGCUUUCUCCUCUGUGAAUCAGCAGGCAUGUGCCAUGGUACUCCUCUGACACCUUUAGUAUUCUGGCUGGAGCUCAAAUGUCGGUAAAUCUCUUGUUAUAAAAGGUGGCCAUAAACAGCUAAUGGUCUGUCAUGAAUAUUUUAGAGGCCUGAAUAUCAUACAGAAAUGACCUCUGGAAAAACCACAACCCUAACAAGGCACAUCUCAGAUGGAUCACCUCCACAGCCAGUGCAACACGAGGCCACUCUCUCUGGUUCUUUUGGCUUCUCUUUUUUUUUUCCUUUUCGUGGCAUGAUUGGAUUGAUUUGUCAUUUGCAGCAGAGGGAGCUUGGCCACGGGGCUGUGGAUAAUCCAAUUUAUCGCUUUGCCAUUUAUUACAAAUUUCUGUGGCUUUUGGGUCCACUGUCACAUCGAUUCGUUGAUUGCUUGCUUAGCUGGGUCCUAAUGAGCUGCUGUCUGAAUCACUGCAUAAUCACCGCCCUAAUUCACUUCCUUGCCUGCCCUCACACUCGCUCUGUUGGCUCGCCACUAUUAGAAAGGAAUGGACUGAAACACACUCUCUGAGCAGACAAUUAGUAACGUCAUCCUUGAAACAGGCUGUCAUUCUACGAGUAUUAGUCUUUAAUCAAUGACAAUACUACUGCGACUUUGCAGAAUGUUUCACAAAUUGCUUUUUUAAGUGACAAGACGCUUAUUUAGCUCAUUGUGUGCACCCUAUACACACAAAAAUUUAACAGCCACGACGAUAAAGGCAGGGGAAACCACACUAGAGAGUAAAAAUCUGGAUGCAGGCUACAAAGUACAAGGUAUAAAAUAUUAUGCAGUUAUUUUCUUAUAAGUGUGUCCAGGACAUGAGUAAAUAGAUGCAAACAAGUUUAUCUUAAAAAAAAAAUUGUAAAUGAAAAUUGUAAAUGUAAUCCAUUAAAUACUCUGUAAUUACCUUUGAAAAGUGGUUAACAAGAGCUGUAUUUUCCACCCUAUUAACUCUAAUUCCACAGCGACUGAAAUAGCCAUUAAACAAAAAUGUAUCAAUAGAGUCGCCGUAGUUGACUAAACAUUUUUGUCAAGUCCCCACGAUGUAUUCAAUAUAUGUAUAUGUAUGUCCCCAUGAUGACCAAUUUGUGUCAGGACAAGUGUCCCCACAAUGUAUUCAAUAUAUGUAUGCUAUGUCCCCAUGAUGUCCAAUGUAUGUCAAGAUAAGAGUCCCAACAAGUAUUUAAUAUAUGUAUGCUAUGUCCCCAUGAUGUCUAACGUGUGUCAAGAUAAUAGUCCCCACAAUGUAUUUAAUAUAUGUAAUCUAUGUCCCCAUGAUGUUCAACGUGUGUCAAGAUGAAGUCCCCACAAUGUAUUCAAUAUAUGUAAUGUAUGUCCCCAUGAUGACCAAUUUGUGUCAGGACAAGAGUCCCCACAAUGUAUUUAAUAUAUGUAAUCUAUGUCCCCAUGAUGUUCAACGUGUGUCAAGAUGAAGUCCCCACAAUGUAUUCAAUAUAUGUAUUCUAUGUCCCCAUGGUGUUCAACGCGUGUCAAGAUGAAGUCCCCACAAUGUAUUCAAUAUAUGUAAUGUAUGUCCCCAUGAUGACCAAUUUGUGUCAGGACAAGAGUCCCCACAAUGUAUUUAAUAUAUGUAAUCUAUGUCCCCAUGAUGUCCAACGUGUGUCCAGAUAAGAGUCCCCACAAUGUAUUCAAUAUAUAUACGCCAUGUCCCUGUGUUGUCAAAUGUGUGUCCAGUUAAGAGUCCCCACAAUAUAUUCAAUAUAUGUAUGCAAUGUCCCCGUGUUGUCAAAUGUGUGUCCACAUAAAAGUCCCCACAAGUUGGGUAGACAAGAUUGUCUGUGUUGGUUUGGUCCCAAUUAAUUGAUCUGAUAAAAAAUUGUUCUAAAAAUGUCCUCUUGAAAGGACAUGCAUUAAUUUAGUACCUACAUAAGUCUACUUCACUGUAAUUUGUGUCUAGGUAAAGUGGAUGUAUUAGGCCUCCAUAAUUUCAAUGAUAUUAAACUUAGUCUCUACAAUGUCCAGUUAGCAUAAGUCCAUGAACAGAAAAAGAGCCCACAGUGUCUACAUUUAAUGAAUUUAUGUCUAGAAGAGUAUGCAGAAGAAAGUGACACCUUAACCAAUAUUGUUAUAAUGCAGUUCAUAAGAAAGUGACACCUUUACCUCUUUCACACGUUUGUCUUAUUAUAGGUAUUUAGUUGAAUUCAUUUGAAAUUCCAUAUACUACAUGUUAAACUCCAGUUUGCAGACUGUCAUCUAAAGCUAGCAGUAGGCAAACAGUGCAGCGUUGUACCAUCACUUCUCUUUUGUUUGCAAUCAUUCUAUUUGUGUUAUCAGAUAUCUGAGGAGGCUCACUUCAGGAAAGAUGUGAGAGCAAAUAGCACCAGGUGAAAGUUUACUGCUGCACCAAUACCGGCCUGUCUGGGUGGCAUUUAUCAAGCUUGAAGAGGGGCUUAAGGACGCUGGGGGAUCUGUUUGUGGAGAGUCUGGUGGACAAAUACAGCAGGAAACUAAUCAAGCCAUCUAUCAACAAACCAAGUGCACCAUCUGUGUGCUUCAUCGUCUGUCCUGCGCGCUCCUAUAGCUCAGAUUUAUCUGCAGCAGUUUGCAGAGUAAUGAAUGUGAACCAAUAUUGUUGUAAUGCAGUUCAUAAUGCAAUCUACGCAUAUCCCUUCGCCUAAAUUGUAAACAUGUUCAAUCUUGCUGCAUAGUGGACCUCUUGGGUUAGAUCCUGCAGCAAGUAGACCUGAAGUUUCUUUGCACUCAGCACC